RNAcentral lists this long non-coding RNA (924 nucleotides) under Cricetulus griseus (Chinese hamster). Its description in RNAcentral is "lncRNA (ENSCGRG00015030187.1)". The record is from RNAcentral. Lineage: Eukaryota; Metazoa; Chordata; Mammalia; Rodentia; Cricetidae.
CACUCCUCCCCGAAAUGGUGGAGUGUUUGCCUUGCUCCACUUUCUUCUUGAUGUUAGCCAUUCUGACAGGUGUAAGUUGGUGUGACACAGUAAUUUUGAUUUGCAUUUCCCUGUUGGGGCAAAUUCAUUUAGUUUGGCAUUCAGUUGGAGUAGUAGCAAAUUAGCCUCAAGUGAAUCAGAGACUGGAUUCCCAACUGUGGAGAGCCAGACUGUCUGCCUUUUCUCCUCCAGAGAAUGCCCAAAGAAGCCUUGCCUGAGGGUACAGAAUCUUGUUCCAGCUCUGCUGCCAGAAGUUUUCAGAAAGGUGACAGAGCCAUCCAAGAGCCUUCAUCCAGCAGCUGAUGGAAGCAGAGGCAGACACCCACAGCUAAACACUGAGCCGAACUCCCUGGAAUCCAGCUUCAGAGGGAGAGGAGUGAUGAGCAAAGUGGUCAAGACCAGGCUAGAGAAACCCACAGAAACAGCUGACGUGAACAAGGGGGAGCUCAUGGACCCCAGACUGAUAGCUGGGAAACCAGCAUUGGACCUACCCAGACCUUCUGAACUAACAUGAUACAAUGUCUUCAUUUGACAACUGAAGAAUUGAGGCCCAUGUCCAUCGUAUGGGAAAAGAGCUGUGUGAGGAGAAUUCAGAGUGAUGUGGGGCUGCUCCAAGAGAAGAGGGAAGGAGUUUUUUCCUCAGUUUCUUCAGAACAGCACUUGGUCCUGGUUUCCAUGUUCCUCCAGGGUAGUGGAUGGGAAUCAAUUAACUUCAGAUUACUCUUUAUUGCUUGCUGUUGUUAUUCAUAUAUACUUUAUAUGCCUCUGUGGAAAAAACAGGGGUUGCCAUAUGCAGCUCAUCUUGUGAUUGUGUACAACUUGAGCUAAUACAAAUUUUACCUGUGUGAACUUUUUAACUAUCGUGUGUGUGUGUGUGUGUGUGUG